GUUACGAGCAGGACCACCAGUGGACGAUAGAAGAUACUUAAAGCUAUGACUAUUGUUUAAACAUAUAUGUACUAAUAUAAGCAUCACAUAUACUUCUUAACAUACUUUAAAUAUUCAAUAUUUUCGAUAUGAUAUUUUUUUCGAUGACAAUUUCUCACUCCGAAGUCAGCACUGCACAGGAACAAUAAAAAAAAUAUCAAUUAUUCCUUUUUUACACAUGCGCAACGUUCAGAAAGUCAUAUAAACAACUUUCAAUAAAAGUAAUUACAUAGAAGAGAAAGUGCCAUUCUCAAGGUGGAUUUCGAAGAGGACGGAGCUCUCAACAUAUAUUCCGAGCUUUUUAACAAUAAAAGACACAUCUAUCGAUUAUUAAACAAUUUUUUUAAUGCUUGGAUACACUCUCUUUAUAUUUCAUAUUGUUCCAACAUAUAUGUACUAGUAUAAGCAUUACAUACUUAUUAACAUUCUUUAAAUAUUAAACGAUUUCGAUAUGAUACUCUUUUCGUUGAAAAUUUCCCCCUCCAAAGUCAGCACUGCACAGAAACGUUAAACCAAAUUUACAUUUAUUUAAACAAUUACAUGAAAAUUAAAAAAUAUAAAAUCAGAACGUUAUAAUCUUAAUUUCUAUUUAAUUCAAUUAAUAUUUUCGUUAUACUCACAUGCGCAACUUUCAAAAAGCCAUAUAAACAACUUUCGAUAUAAAAAGCUUUUUUCUGUGACAACGUCUCAGUCUAACAGAAGAUUUCNAAGAGGAAGGUACAUCAGCAGGGUCAUUACUAUUGGCAAGAUUCUAUUCAACUGUUUGCAGUUUGUGUUCCGAUAGUAGUUAAACUGUAUGAAUAAUAUUAUAUCUUA
RNAcentral lists this long non-coding RNA (855 nucleotides) under Polistes canadensis. RNAcentral describes it as "uncharacterized LOC106793666, transcript variant X2". Lineage: Eukaryota; Metazoa; Arthropoda; Insecta; Hymenoptera; Vespidae. The record is from RNAcentral.